GGUUUUUACUCUUUUGCUUUGGUUUGUUUCCACUGUUCUUUUCCUCUGCGGGGAAGAAUUAAAGGUAGAUGUCUCAAGGAAAGAGGUGGAUGUCUUUGUCUUGUUCCAUGAGCUUCCACAGAUAUCCUGAGCUGCUAACAGGGUUUGUGCGGCUCUCGCAGAGGCCAAAGGUCUUUUGUCCCUAACCUCCUACCUUCCACAGUCUCUUGCUGGUUGAGCUCUGCUUGAACUACAUUCUCUCUGGCUACAAAACUAAAAGCACCAGCAGUGCCAAGGCUCCACCCGGGCCUCAGGUAUGCCUUGUGCUUCUCAUUGCAGUGCUAAAAAGACUUUCACCAUCUUACAUGGCUGAAUAGACUUGUCAGAGUCCUAAACUAUGUCUCCAGAUCCAUCCCUCAAAAUGCCAGCUGUUUUGCAAUAUUUAAAAAUGUCCUUUCAACUUCCAGACCCAUGUUGCUGCCUGUAGGUUCCUGUGAUCAAUGCACGACAGUAUGGUCUCUUCCUGUGCAUCUGAGUUUUAUGUUAAAAAGAAACAAACUAAAACAAGAAAAAGGCCUCACACAGGGCAGUGAUGACAUGCCACGAGUAAGCAAUAGAUGUUCGGAGAAUUCCAACUUCUAACAAGAACAGAUAUUUGUAAGAAAACAAG
RNAcentral lists this long non-coding RNA (649 nucleotides) under Fukomys damarensis (Damara mole-rat). RNAcentral's name for it is "lncRNA (ENSFDAG00000032561.1)". Lineage: Eukaryota; Metazoa; Chordata; Mammalia; Rodentia; Bathyergidae. The record is from RNAcentral.